Long non-coding RNA from Dermacentor albipictus, 476 nucleotides. RefSeq lists it as uncharacterized. The record is from RefSeq and is a predicted model, not a curated record. NCBI's taxonomy places the organism in Eukaryota, Metazoa, Arthropoda, Arachnida, Ixodida, Ixodidae.
CACGCGAACAGGUUCUCUCAAUCUAUUUCCAAAUAGGCGUAGUGAACUGGCAUUAGUCUUCACAAUCGCAGCAUAGACGAUGACACCGAAACACUGCACCAUAACAGUUCUCUUCGCGCUGUUUUCCCUAUGGCCACUGCUGACGCAUGCAUGUUUCUGGACACACGAGGAAACGAAGGUGAUAGCCCGGGACAAGUAUGCUGGCUGUCCCGACCACGAGGAGAUAUGCCAAGCACGCUGCCGGGUAUUCAUGAACACACAAGGAGUGUGUGACAGGUUGUACCCCAAGCGAUGCGUUUGCCUGUAGCGUGACAAGACAUCGACGAGGACUGCACUGAGGGUUAACGAGUCCACUCUUUCGCAUCACCUUAGUUAUUGGAUGGAGAACGACAAUCCAGAAAGCUCUAUUCAUCUUGCGGCCAUGGUGCACAGCAAUGUCAUCUUUACGCAAGUAAACACCGUGAAUGACAUCAGCA